ACCCGUAAAAUUGCAGUUGAUACUGGUUUCCUUGAGUGCAGUUGAGGCAGGCGGAAUUCGUGGUGUAGCGGUGAAAUGCUUAGAUAUCACGAAGAACCCCGAUUGCGAAGGCAGCUUGCUAAACUGUAACUGACGUUCAUGCUCGAAAGUGUGGGUAUCAAACAGGAUUAGAUACCCUGGUAGUCCACACGGUAAACGAUGGAUACUCGCUGUUGGCGAUAUACUGUCAGCGGCCAAGCGAAAGCAUUAAGUAUCCCACCUGGGGAGUACGCCGGCAACGGUGAAACUCAAAGGAAUUGACGGGGGCCCGCACAAGCGGAGGAACAUGUGGUUUAAUUCGAUGAUACGCGAGGAACCUUACCCGGGCUUAAAUUGCAGACGAAUUACGAGGAAACUUGUAAGCCGCAAGGCGUCUGUGAAGGUGCUGCAUGGUUGUCGUCAGCUCGUGCCGUGAGGUGUCGGCUUAAGUGCCAUAACGAGCGCAACCCUCGUGGUCAGUUACUAACAGGUUAAGCUGAGGACUCUGGCCAGACUGCCAUCGUAAGAUGUGAGGAAGGUGGGGAUGACGUCAAAUCAGCACGGCCCUUACGUCCGGGGCUACACACGUGUUACAAUGGGAGGUACAGAAGGCAGCUACCCGGCGACGGGAUGCCAAUCCCCAAAACCUCUCUCAGUUCGGACUGGAGUCUGCAACCCGACUCCACGAAGCUGGAUUCGCUAGUAAUCGCGCAUCAGCCACGGCGCGGUGAAUACGUUCCCGGGCCUUGUACACACCGCCCGUCAAGCCAUGAAAGCCGGGGGUACCUGAAGUGCGUAACCGCAAGGAGCGCCCUAGGGUAAAACCGGU
This 847-nucleotide ribosomal RNA is filed under the name uncultured organism. RNAcentral's name for it is "SSU rRNA". It matches the Rfam family "Bacterial small subunit ribosomal RNA", at positions 611 to 1472 of the family's 1533-position model. The record is from RNAcentral.